CGUAACACGUGGGCAAUCUGCCUUAAAGUGGGGGAUAGCUCGGCGAAAGCCGAAUUAAUACCGCAUGUGAUGAGGGAAGACAUCUUUCCGAAAUCAAAGCCGGGGCAACCUGGCGCUUUUUGAGGGGUCCGCGGCCUAUCAGCUAGUUGGUGAGGUAACGGCCCACCAAGGCUAUGACGGGUAGCUGGUCUGAGAGGAUGGCCAGCCACAUUGGGACUGAGAGACGGCCCAG
Molecule: ribosomal RNA, 232 nt
Filed under: uncultured bacterium
Lineage: Bacteria
Description: partial 16S ribosomal RNA
Rfam family: Bacterial small subunit ribosomal RNA
Source: RNAcentral